CGGCCUCACCUUCAUCCACUCCAGUCCCGUCCCGUUUCCUUGCUGCCCGGCCGUCUGCCCCUCAACCUCAUCGCGCAAUCUCCAUCACCGUCCGGCGUCCGCGAGCAGCGGUGCAGAGGGCGUCCUUACUCGUUCCGCGCGCCCCGCCCAGGUCAAUCUCCCCGUACCCUCAGCCUCGACUCUCUGAGUCUCCACGCGAUCGACUUCGCCCGCAGCCUGCGCCGACCCUCUCGAUCUCCAUCCAUCCCACGAGGGGAGCACCGGUGGGUGCCGUCGUCCUCCGGGGGUUCAUGUCCCUGUUGGUACACGAUGAACCCUGCAAGCCGAAGACAUUAUGAUUCUCUCGUCGCGCGAUAUGGUGACCAAGAUGCACUCGCCGACCGUUUCGGCGGCCAAAACGACGGCCCUGACGCCUGGUGGUCCAACCUGCGUGUGCGGAUGUCUCAGGAUCAUCUACUGAGGCACGAGGCGCGGAGGCGAGCCGCCACCUUGGAGGCUUUCGAGGAUAGAGAAAACUCGCAUGAUGGUGCCUUUGGUUGCGGUGACCGGGCCUCUGCUAAGGCCAUGGUAACUCUGCAUCAGCCCAAUUUGGGCGAGACCAGGGAGCAGGAUUGCGCCGUGUGCCUUGAGCCUUUCGAGGAAGGCAACACGCUUAGAAUGAUGCCAUGUUUCCAUUCCUUCCAUCAGCGCUGCAUCUUCAGUUGGCUCCGCAUUAGCCGCAUCUGCCCGGUGUGCCGUUUCACGCUGCCCUCCCAGGCUGAUUUUGAGUCGGAGAAGGCUGAGAAAGAACGAAUUACUUUAAUUGUAAUUGGUAGCUCAUCAUUGUUGCCGGGAUCAGGUACCCCCAGGCAAAUGGGUGGUUAUGUUGUAAUCCUCAGCGCCUUGCUGCUGAGCUCGUACCAGUUUCUCCUCCUAAUAAACAUGGCCGGCCCAGUGAAAAGUAUUGUUCAUUGGUAG
This 957-nucleotide long non-coding RNA is filed under the name Oryza sativa Indica Group (long-grained rice). RNAcentral's name for it is "lncRNA OsMH63_12G003090". The record is from RNAcentral. Lineage: Eukaryota; Viridiplantae; Streptophyta; Magnoliopsida; Poales; Poaceae.